This is a long non-coding RNA of Galeopterus variegatus (Sunda flying lemur), 618 nucleotides long. RefSeq lists it as uncharacterized. The transcript has 2 exons. The record is from RefSeq and is a predicted model, not a curated record. NCBI's taxonomy places the organism in Eukaryota, Metazoa, Chordata, Mammalia, Dermoptera, Cynocephalidae.
UCUGGCUCACUCUUUAGCCUUUUAAGGUAAAAACUCAGGGAUGUACCCAAGCCAUCUGUGUUUACUAGAAGAGGCCAUUUUUCCAUCCUUCUGACGUCCAGGAAAGGCUCUGAGAAGCAGCAGAGCGUGCCCCUGCCCGCAGCUCCUGUCUGCAGGCCCAGCCUGGCUCCUGCGCCCCCACCCAAGAGAUGAGAAGUGCGCUUUGUAAGUUGCUCUGGAGAAGACAGACGUAGGUCCCCUCCCGGGUCCUCGGAGUCCUGGAGACACCUGGAUACGAUGAGUGCAGUCGGAGCCACUUCCUUUAUCAUCAGGACAGAUGGAGUCCAGCUCUCCGAUGUCAGCGCCAGGCACUGGGGGUCUCCACGGCAGCGAGGUUGGCCUUCCUCCGUGAGCCCUAGGAGAUUGAUGAGGUGUGGGGACAGCGACUGGACACAGAACAAAUGAGAAAGCAAAUGACCAGACAGAAGUGAGGAGCAGCGCUGGCCAUGCUCUGCGGCUCCUCGGAAGACCCCUCUUUGGAGAUCUUCCAGGCCCGACACAUGAUCCUCCCUAAGCCACAGGCCAUCUGGGUCCUUUUGUGGCAAGCCUGGUUAAAACAAGAAAACACUUUUCAGUGGC